Molecule: ribosomal RNA, 271 nt
Filed under: uncultured archaeon
Lineage: Archaea
Description: partial 16S ribosomal RNA
Rfam family: Archaeal small subunit ribosomal RNA
Source: RNAcentral
CAGCGCCACGAGUGGGAACUACAAUUAUUGGGCCUAAAGCGUCCGUAGCCGGUUUAAUAAAUUUCUUGUGAAACUGUUUGGCUCAACCUAACAACGUGCAGGAAAGACUGUUAAACUUGGGACUGGGAGGGGUUAGGAGUAUCUUUAGUGUAGCGGUAAAAUGUUAUAAUCCUGAAGAGACUACCUGUGGCGAAAGCGCCUAACCAGAACAGGUCCGGCGGUGAGGGACGAAAGCUAGGGGAGCAAACCGGAUUAGAUACCCGAGUAGUCC